Molecule: microRNA precursor, 80 nt
Filed under: Dasypus novemcinctus (nine-banded armadillo)
Lineage: Eukaryota; Metazoa; Chordata; Mammalia; Cingulata; Dasypodidae
Description: miRNA (ENSDNOG00000039414.1)
Source: RNAcentral
UGUGUGUUUAUUUUGGUGCACACAUAUGCAUAUUUGUUGUGUGUAUAUAUAUGUAUACACACACACAUACACACUCUCUA